Molecule: transfer RNA, 74 nt
Filed under: Candidatus Microgenomates bacterium
Lineage: Bacteria; Candidatus Microgenomatota
Also listed under: 1 other name
Description: tRNA-Val
Rfam family: tRNA
About the family: Transfer RNA (tRNA) molecules are approximately 80 nucleotides in length. Their secondary structure includes four short double-helical elements and three loops (D, anti-codon, and T loops).
Source: RNAcentral
GGACGAUUAGCUCAGCUGGUUAGAGCACUACAUUCACAUUGUAGGGGUCGUUGGUUCGAAUCCAUCAUCGUCCA